UACGUAGGGCGCGAGCGUUGUCCGGAAUUAUUGGGCGUAAAGAGCUCGUAGGCGGCUUGUCGCGUCGGAUGUGAAAAGCCCGGGGCUUAACUCCGGGUCUGCAUUCGAUAUGGGCAGGCUAGAGUUCGGUAGGGGAGAUCGGAAUUCCUGGUGUAGCGGUGAAAUGCGCAGAUAUCAGGAGGAACACCGGUGGCGAAGGCGGAUCUCUGGGCCGAUACUGACGCUGAGGAGCGAAAGCGUGGGGAGCAAACAGG
This 254-nucleotide ribosomal RNA is filed under the name uncultured bacterium. RNAcentral's name for it is "partial 16S ribosomal RNA". It matches the Rfam family "Bacterial small subunit ribosomal RNA", at positions 524 to 776 of the family's 1533-position model. The record is from RNAcentral.